CCUGAUGAAUCAGCAUCGGCUAACUCCGUGCCAGCAGCCGCGGUAAGACGGAGGAUGCAAGCGUUAUCCGGAAUUAUUGGGCGUAAAGCGUCCGCAGGUGGCCUGUUAAGUCUGCUGUUAAAGCCCAGGGCUUAACUCUGGAUCAGCGGUGGAAACUGGCAGGCUAGAGUACGGUAGGGGUAGAGGGAAUUCCUGGUGUAGCGGUGAAAUGCGUAGAUAUCAGGAAGAACACCGGUGGCGAAAGCGCUCUACUGGGCCGUAACUGACACUCAUG
This 274-nucleotide ribosomal RNA is filed under the name Synechococcus sp. KUAC 3081. RNAcentral describes it as "partial 16S ribosomal RNA". It matches the Rfam family "Bacterial small subunit ribosomal RNA", at positions 478 to 751 of the family's 1533-position model. The record is from RNAcentral. Lineage: Bacteria; Bacillati; Cyanobacteriota; Cyanophyceae; Synechococcales; Synechococcaceae.